This 396-nucleotide ribosomal RNA is filed under the name uncultured bacterium. Its description in RNAcentral is "bacterial SSU rRNA". It matches the Rfam family "Bacterial small subunit ribosomal RNA", at positions 29 to 416 of the family's 1533-position model. The record is from RNAcentral.
AACGAACGCUGGCGGCGCGCCUAAUACAUGCAAGUCGAGCGAGAAGACGUAGCAAUACGUUUGUAAAGCGGCGAACGGGUGAGGAAUACAUGGGUAACCUACCCUCGAGUGGGGAAUAACUAGCCGAAAGGUUAGCUAAUACCGCGUACGCUCCUUGGACUUCGGUUCAGGGAGGAAAGCGAUACCGUGGGUAUCGCGCUCUUGGAUGGGCUCAUGUCCUAUCAGCUUGUUGGUGAGGAACGGCUCACCAAGGCUUCGACGGGUAGCUGGUCUGAGAGGACGAUCAGCCACACUGGCACUGCGACACGGGCCAGACUCCUACGGGAGGCAGCAAGUAAGGAAUAUUGCGCAAUGGGCAAAGCCUGGCGCAGCGACGCCGCGUGUGGGAUGAAGGCC